GACGAACGCUGGCGGCGUGCCUAAUACAUGCAAGUAGAACGCUGAAGGAGGAGCUUGCUUCUCUGGAUGAGUUGCGAACGGGUGAGUAACGCGUAGGUAACCUGCCUGGUAGCGGGGGAUAACUAUUGGAAACGAUAGCUAAUGCCGCAUAAGAGUAGAUGUUGCAUGACAUUUGCUUAAAAGGUGCAAUUGCAUCACUACCAGAUGGACCUGCGUUGUAUUAGCUAGUUGGUGGGGUAACGGCUCACCAAGGCGACGAUACAUAGCCGACCUGAGAGGGUGAUCGGCCACACUGGGACUGAGACACGGCCCAGACUCCUACGGGAGGCAGCAGUAGGGAAUCUUCGGCAAUGGACGGAAGUCUGACCGAGCAACGCCGCGUGAGUGAAGAAGGUUUUCGGAUCGUAAAGCUCUGGUGUAAGAGAAGAACGAGUGUGAGAGUGGAAAGUUCACACUGUGACGGUUUCUACC
This 471-nucleotide ribosomal RNA is filed under the name Streptococcus mitis. Its description in RNAcentral is "bacterial SSU rRNA". It matches the Rfam family "Bacterial small subunit ribosomal RNA", at positions 28 to 483 of the family's 1533-position model. The record is from RNAcentral. Lineage: Bacteria; Bacillati; Bacillota; Bacilli; Lactobacillales; Streptococcaceae.